GCUUACAGGCCAUACCACCCUGAGCACGCCCGAUCUCGUCUGAUCUCGGAAGCUAAGCAGGGUCGGGCCUGGUUAGUACUUGGAUGGGAGACCGCCUGGGAAUACCAGGUGCUGUAAGCU
This 120-nucleotide ribosomal RNA is filed under the name Betta splendens (Siamese fighting fish). Lineage: Eukaryota; Metazoa; Chordata; Actinopteri; Anabantiformes; Osphronemidae. The record is from RNAcentral.